Molecule: ribosomal RNA, 506 nt
Filed under: uncultured bacterium
Lineage: Bacteria
Description: bacterial SSU rRNA
Rfam family: Bacterial small subunit ribosomal RNA
Source: RNAcentral
AUUGAACGCUGGCGGAAUGCUUUACACAUGCAAGUCGAACGGCAGCACGGGGCAACCUGGUGGCGAGUGGCGAACGGGUGAGGAAUACAUGGGAAUCUGCCCAGUCGUGGGGGAUAACGUAGGGAAACUUACGCUAAUACCGCAUGCGCCCUUCGGGGGAAAGCCGGGGACCUUCGGGCCUGGCGCGAUUGGAUGAGCCCAUGUCGGAUUAGCUAGUUGGUGGGGUAAAGGCCCACCAAGGCGACGAUCCGUAGCUGGUCUGAGAGGAUGAUCAGCCACACUGGAACUGAGACACGGUCCAGACUCCUACGGGAGGCAGCAGUAGGGAAUAUUGGACAAUGGGCGCAAGCCUGAUCCAGCCAUUCCGCGUGCAGGAUGAAGGCCUUCGGGUUGUAAACUGUCUUUUGUUACGGAACGAAACGGUCUGCCCUAAUACGGCGGGCUAAUGACGGUACCGUAAGAAUAAGACACCGGCUAACUACGUGCCAGCAGCCGCGGUAAAAGUC